RNAcentral lists this ribosomal RNA (667 nucleotides) under uncultured bacterium. RNAcentral's name for it is "bacterial SSU rRNA". It matches the Rfam family "Bacterial small subunit ribosomal RNA", at positions 222 to 898 of the family's 1533-position model. The record is from RNAcentral.
AGGAUCGGCCCGCGUCUGAUUAGCUAGUUGGUGGGGUAAUGGCUCACCAAGGCGACGAUCAGUAGCUGGUCUGAGAGGAUGAUCAGCCACACUGGGACUGAGACACGGCCCAGACUCCUACGGGAGGCAGCAGUGGGGAAUAUUGCACAAUGGGCGCAAGCCUGAUGCAGCGACGCCGCGUGGGGGAUGAAGGCCCUCGGGUUGUAAACCCCUUUCGGCAGGGAAGAAGCGCAAGUGACGGUACCUGCAGAAGAAGUCCCGGCUAACUACGUGCCAGCAGCCGCGGUAAGACGUAGGGGACGAGCGUUGUCCGGAUUUAUUGGGCGUAAAGCGCGCGUAGGCGGUUUGGUAAGUCGGAUGUGAAAUCCCGCGGCUCAACCACGGGACUGCAUCCGAUACUGCCCGACUAGAGGUAGGUAGGGGAGAUCGGAAUUCCUGGUGUAGCGGUGAAAUGCGCAGAUAUCAGGAGGAACACCGGUGGCGAAGGCGGAUCUCUGGGCCUUACCUGACGCUGAGGCGCGAAAGCUAGGGGAGCGAACAGGAUUAGAUACCCUGGUAGUCCUAGCCGUAAACGUUGGGUGCUAGGUGUGGGGGGGACAUCGACCCCCUCCGUGCCGAAGCUAACGCAUUAAGCACCCCGCCUGGGGAGUACGGCCGCAAGGCUAAA